RNAcentral lists this ribosomal RNA (720 nucleotides) under uncultured bacterium. RNAcentral's name for it is "bacterial SSU rRNA". It matches the Rfam family "Bacterial small subunit ribosomal RNA", at positions 721 to 1441 of the family's 1533-position model. The record is from RNAcentral.
GCGGCUCUNUGGUCUGUCACUGACGCUGAGGCUCGAAAGCGUGGGUAGCGAACAGGAUUAGAUACCCUGGUAGUCCACGCCGUAAACGAUGAGUGCUAGGUGUUAGGCCCUUUCCGGGGCUUAGUGCCGGAGCUAACGCAAUAAGCCCUCCGCCUGGGGAGUACGACCGCAAGGUUGAAACUCAAAGGAAUUGACGGGGGCCCGCACAAGCGGUGGAGCAUGUGGUUUAAUUCGAAGCAACGCGAAGAACCUUACCAGGUCUUGACAUCCCGAUGCUAUUCUUAGAGAUAGGAAGUUACUUCGGUACAUCGGAGACAGGUGGUGCAUGGUUGUCGUCAGCUCGUGUCGUGAGAUGUUGGGUUAAGUCCCGCAACGAGCGCAACCCUUAUUGUUAGUUGCCAUCAUUAAGUUGGGCACUCUAGCGAGACUGCCGGUAAUAAACCGGAGGAAGGUGGGGAUGACGUCAAAUCAUCAUGCCCCUUAUGACCUGGGCUACACACGUGCUACAAUGGUCGGUACAACGAGUUGCGAGCCGGUGACGGCAAGCUAAUCUCUGAAAGCCGAUCUCAGUUCGGAUUGGAGGCUGCAACUCGCCUCCAUGAAGUCGGAAUCGCUAGUAAUCGCGGAUCAGCACGCCGCGGUGAAUACGUUCCCGGGCCUUGUACACACCGCCCGUCACACCACGAGAGUUUGUAACACCCGAAGUCGGUGAGGUAACCU